GAUGAACGCUGGCGGCGUGCCUAAUACAUGCAAGUCGAACGCAUAGCGAAAGGUGCUUGCACCUUUCAAGUGAGUGGCGAACGGGUGAGUAACACGUGGACAACCUGCCUCAAGGCUGGGGAUAACAUUUGGAAACAGAUGCUAAUACCGAAUAAAACUUAGUGUCGCAUGACACAAAGUUAAAAGGCGCUUCGGCGUCACCUAGAGAUGGAUCCGCGGUGCAUUAGUUAGCUGGUGGGGUAAAGGCCUACCAAGACAAUGAUGCAUAGCCGAGUUGAGAGACUGAUCGGCCACAUUGGGACUGAGACACGGCCCAAACUCCUACGGGAGGCUGCAGUAGGGAAUCUUCCACAAUGGGCGAAAGCCUGAUGGAGCAACGCCGCGUGUGUGAUGAAGGCUUUCGGGUCGUAAAGCACUGUUGUAUGGGAAGAACAGCUAGAAUAGGAAAUGAUUUUAGUUUGACGGUACCAUACCAGAAAGGGACGGCUAAAUACGUG
RNAcentral lists this ribosomal RNA (497 nucleotides) under uncultured bacterium. RNAcentral's name for it is "partial 16S ribosomal RNA". It matches the Rfam family "Bacterial small subunit ribosomal RNA", at positions 28 to 507 of the family's 1533-position model. The record is from RNAcentral.